Passer domesticus (house sparrow) is the source of this 6045-nucleotide RNA transcript. It is a transcript of the gene named zinc finger protein 239-like, with no coding region annotated. The record is from RefSeq and is a predicted model, not a curated record. Lineage: Eukaryota; Metazoa; Chordata; Aves; Passeriformes; Passeridae. The transcript is spliced from 3 exons.
AGCUCCCACCUAAUCCGCCACCAGAUGAUCCACACCGGGGAAUGGCCGCACAAAUGUGGGGAGUGUGGGAAGGGCUUCAGCUGCAGAUCCACCCUGGCGACCCACCAACGCAUCCACACCGGGGAGAGGCCCUAUGAGUGUCCUGAGUGUCAGAAGAGAUUUCAGAGCAGCUCCAGUCUCCUCCUGCACCAGCGGAUUCACACCGAUGAGAGGCCCUUCUGCUGCCCUGAUUGUGGGAAGGGCUUCAAGCGCAACUCCAACCUUGUCACGCACCGGCUCAUCCACACCAGGGAGAGGCCCUACGAGUGCCCCACGUGUGGGAAGAGGUUUCAGACCAGCUCCAACCUCCACCUGCAUGAGCGGAUUCACACAGAUGAGAGGCCCUUCCGCUGCCCCGACUGCGGGAAGGGCUUCAAGCAAAACUCCCACCUCGUCAGGCACCGGCGCAUCCACACUGGGGAGAGGCCCUACAAGUACCCCACAUGUGGGAAGAGCUUCACCCAGAGCUCUGACUUGGCCAGCCAGGAGUCACCGGUAAGGGAUGUCCUGCCAGUGCCCCAACUGCAGGAAGAGAUUGAUGAACUGCUCCAGCUUCUUCCCCCAUUGGAGGACCCAUUUUGGAAAGAGCCCUGUGACCCAUGGUGGGAAGACAUCUGUUAAUUUUCCUGCCCCUGCCAAUGACAUGUUGUGGGAUUGAAGAACAUGAGGGUCUGGCCAUGGCCCUGUCAUCACAUUCACUUCCACCUCAGGUCAUUGCCAGGGGCAGGAAAGGGACUCUCUCUCUCUCUCUCCCUGAGUGUGGUAUUCACAUGCCUUCUGAACAUGUGAAUGUUCAAAGCUGUGACACAAGAAGAGAAGAAGGAAAACAUAAUUCUUACCUCUCUUGCUGUGCCUGUGUUGUGCUAAAGUAGAAUGCAAUAUGGAGAUUGUUUACUGUUGUGUUGUGUUUUUCAGGUUCUUAGUUAUGUUAAGUUGUAUAUUGUAAGUUGGUUUGUUUCACUCGCCCCUGUGGUUGUGUAAUGGUUCUACCCAGGUUGUCUCCUACCCCGCAAUCCUUGUCAGUCUCCCUGAGUUCAUCGCUGGACCCUGUGGAAAGUGGACUCUGGGCUCCUGCAGAUCUGCAUCUGGACCUGCUGUGGGAGUUACCUCUUGAGACCACCUGUCUGCGAAACUUCCUCCAGUAGGAGCAGACCCGUCUGGUGGGUGUCACUCCUGGAGGCUCGGGGAGGCAGCUCCUGCACCCGAGGAGUCUUCCCCUGACAGGACACAUUUGGUCUUUUGUUCACCUAACACCGCAUUUUUACUGAGAGGGGGUCUGAGUCAAAACAACGUUGAAUUCUGCGCCUGAGACUGUAAGUGGUCUCCUCUCCCUUUCUCUCCUUCUUGUUCCCCUGUCUCUCUACCCCAGAUCCUUUCAAUUGUUGAAGGGUCGGGGCGUUCUGAGCCCCUUUCGUUUACUUUGAGCCAGGUCUUUUUAACUUAGCACCUUUGCCUCUUUUCUGUGCUGCACAGCCACUGUCUUUUUUGAUAGGGGCAAGUGUGGAUCUUUCUGCCUUUUCCUUUUCAUUUUCCCGAGGGUGGUGGGUGUUGGUUCCCUCUCUUAACAUCAUAAGCCAUCAGUGUGAGGCUUUCUGAGUUCCAGAAAACAACGUUUAUCCAAGUUGCGGGAAUCCUUGCAGGUGGCGAUGUUCAUGUUAAAAAGUGAGAAUUAAGAAAGUUAAUUGUUUGGUUGUUUUCUCACUUCCUGGAGGUUACCACUGGCCAAUUGUAUGAGGUCAAUUUUUGGGAUGUAGUCAUUGCAAAGUUGGCAGAAUUAGGACGGUCAGGGGACUCCUCCCUUUCUAAGAUCUUUCUCUGUGUCCGUCAAGUUAGAGCCAUUUUAAAUUUAAGGUGGGAACGGAGAAAACAACCAUCAGUUAACACUUCAAUCCCCAGUUCAUGCGGUUCUCUCCGUCCUACCCCUCUUCCUUCUCCCGUGGGCCCAAAAGGUGAAAUCUUGAAGGGAGCUUCCACAGUUGUCACAAAUCGGGGUCCCCAUCUCCCCAGCUCUCUCCAAGGUUCUUGCCCCUGCCGCCCGAGAAGUCCUGGCCAAACUUCUUGGGACCUUCCCCUUCCUGAGCCUUUUCCAGUUUGCAAAUCUCCAUCCCGAGUUUGCUUUAAUCUCCCAGAUCCUUAUCCCUCACAAAAUGGCUUCUGUGAAGCCCAAUAUGGCGGAAGUCUCGUGGCUUUUCCCGCCAACCCAGUCUCCUCUCUCUAUAAACCCUUUCGUAUGUUGAACAACCCCUUUCUUAUUUAGACUCCUCCCAUUCCCCUGCUCCUUCCCUUGUCCCUCUGCCAGUCCCUCCUCCGAAAUCCCUGCUCCAUGUUACAUCCCUGAGGUGGAAACUGGAACAUCAGGCAUCAGGUCUCCCCGCCUAGUCCCUUAGCUCCUCCCCUCGCCCUCCUCUUUCUGGUUCCCAUGCUUUGGCUUGUGGGGGGCAAGAGGUGGGACACCGGAAACUGGAGCCAAUGCCCACAAUAUCAGCGGCUCCAGUCUCAUACCAUCUGGAGAGGGAGGGCAGGACACGAGCCCAAUGGACCCCAGUUUCUGCACCACGUAAUUAAAGAACUUUGCAAGGCCCAAAAAGAUUUUGGUAGAGAUAGUGAACAUUUCUGGGGAAUCUUAAGGGCCACUCUCACGGAGUCAGAGGUAACCCCGGCCAAUCUCAAACAUUUGUUUUCCUCCCUCCUCAAUCCCACCAAGUACACCAUGUUGGAGGGAGUAUGGAAAAAGGCAGCUCGGGAAAUCCUCCCGACUCUGUGGAAGAAUUCCCAGACUGGUGCAGACUUGAAAGGAGAGCCCAUCUCUAUUGAUCAUCUUUGUGGCCUGACAAACUGGGCACAAGGGCAGGUUCAAGCCGAAGUACAACCUCGAGAGGCUUUAAAAGAAGCCGUGUAGUUGGCUGAAAAGGCAUUCCUUGCUUUGCAAGUUGAGGCUCCCUUGUUAACAUACUCUAAAAUUUUUCAGUCUCCAUCUGAGCCUUUUACAACCUUUGUAUAAUGCCUCUGGAAGGCAGUGGAGUUGCAGGUUUGGGGUGAGGAGGCUUGUCAAGAGAUUUUAUCUGAGAUGGCAUCAGCUAACACCAAUCCCAGGUGUAAGGUGGCCAUCCUCAGCCUCCCAUUAGAACGCCUCCCCCACCUUGCAACUCAUGCUUGAAGUUUGUGCAAAAAAGUUUUCUGUGCUUCCGGAGGAACCUACUCAAAAAGAUCAUACACCAAGAACUGCUCUCAAAGUUGCUUUUGCCAAACCUCCCAUUGAUGUUUAUCCUACUUUGUCUCCAGGCACGCAAACCAUGCCAAGACCUGCUGGCCCGCCACCGCCCGAGGAUUGCCUGUGUCAUCUCUGUGUUAAGCCAUGCCACUGGGCCCUGGCUUGCCCACUGCAGCAACAAUUUCUUUAAUUUAGAUAGAGCCAGUCGCUUUUUGAGGAGGGGUCAAAAAAAAAUAUUUCUAAGUGCAGCCCCUCCCUUUGUGACAACAAAAUUAAGGCAGAACAAUUAAGUGUCCUGUGGGGAGGGCAGGGGAGGAGACCCCUUCAGACACAUCCCACUUGUUGCUGACAUAAUUGACAUGACUUUACCUGAUGUGAUUUCCAAUGUUUCACCGGACAUGACUUUUAAAGAUUCAACAUCUGCAACACCUAUAUACUUAAACCAAAAACCCAUUCUGACAACAUUAUCUAAACUUUCUCCCUUCAGACUCCAGUUGACAAAGCCCGUCCAUCUCCGAAACUCUAAUUUCCAUGCAGUAACGGUUUCGCCCAAGACCCCAGGUACUUGGCACUGGAUCCGUUGCAGGUCAAACCAUGGUGGAAGAGGUCUCAGCAGAGUCUCAACACUCGAACAUCAGCGAGAGACAGUGAACAUAGACCCUCCCCAGAUGGGGUUGUCCAAAGCGAUUUUCAGAUUAAACUUCUUAAACUGCAGUUUUGAAAAUUUGAAUCCACCCAUGACUCGGUGUUACCACGCAAACCCUCUACUGGAGCUGAAGGACAGGUCCUGGGUCAUGUAAACCCAAACCUAAUGGCCCUCAUCUGGCUUUGGAUCACCGUCAUCCUGGUUUUCAUCUGGUCCACCAUACCACCUGUUGAUAUGUGGAUCAUCCCCCAGCCAAAAGUUCACAUCUGGAAAGCGCUCAUCAAGGUCCUUGGCCAGGAUCUUCUUUGUUUGACCACCGUUUCAGCAGCAGACCCCUUGUCGACCUGCCUUGUGGGGAUCCCUUCAAACCUAGAUGAGUUUCUUCCCCCUCUCAACAGUUCCCUGAAACUCCUUGCGCAUUAGAAAGUUACUUCUCCCCUGGAAUUAACCCUAACCUUGUCUGGAGAAAUCUCCUCCCCAAAUUAAAUCAUUCAGAUUCUGAACCCCUUGAGUUUACCUUGCUUGGCUCCAUGCCAGCCUCAGUUUGUGUCCAAUUUCUGUUUUCCCCAGACGCCCUUGAUAAAUCCUACCUCCCAGUCCUUCAACACAAUCAAGAUUACACUGCUGGAAACUGGUGCAACGCCAUUUCCCAAAUUUCCAUGGCUUCGACUUAUGACCACAAAUCCCGAUCCCUUCCCCGGGGAAUUUUCUUAAUUUGUGGAGACCCAGCUUGGGCAGGCAUCCCCUCUCGCCUGAUAGGAGGCCCUUGUUCCUUUGGGAGGCUGACGCUGUUUGCACCCAACAAUACUCAAAUUUCAAAUUGGAAAUCUAGAAACGUCACACACAAUUCAGCCCAUUCCUGGAGAAACCUUCAAGAAUUAGAUUCUAAAUGUGACUUGGAAAUUGUUGAUUGGUCCAAACCUAAAGGUUUUGCAAUCACAGUCCUUUUACCUUGGAUGGCUGCGACAAAAGCUGCAGGUGAAUUAGCUCACCUAGAGUUUUGGGUAGCCAAACAAGCAAACUUAAUCUCAGCAGUCCUGAGCGACCUCCUAUCAGAUGAAGAAAUAACAAGGCAGGCAACCCUUCAGAACAGGGCAGCAACUGAUUUCCUGAUCCUGCUCCAUUACCAUCAAUGUGAAGAGUUUGAGGGGCUCUCCUGUCUGAACUUGACAUCUAAGGCCAAGGAUGUCAGGAAUACAAUUGCACAACUGAAGGACAUGGUGCAUCAGAUUAAGAAAGAGUGCAGACUGGCUGGGGGACAUUUUCUCCAGAUGGGGCCUUUCAGGCUGGGUGGGCUCUGUUUUAAUAACCAUUCUUUUGUUCUGUUUAGUCAUUUUAAUUGUCUGUGUUGCUGCCAGCAUCAUAUGGCAGCUAAUACUAAAAUUUCUUUAAAAUACUAAAAGAUGACAUCUUCCCCAAGCAUUAACUGAGUGCAAAUUCCAACAUCAGACCCGGAGGAAGAAGAUCAAGACUCCACCAAAGACCAUCUGGCUCCUGAGGAGGGCUGGUGGGCUUCUGCCCCACUAAGCUCAACCUUGGUUUGGGGACAUUUACUUAGAAUUUAACAAUCAAACUGAAUUUACUUCAUUUUAAGGACUUGUUUUCUCCCCUUGUGAUUAAUUUUAAACAAAAAAGGGAGAGAUGUUGUGUUGUGGUUUUUUUGGGUUUUUAGUUAUGCUAAGUUGUAUAUUGUAAGUUGGUUUGUUCCACUCACCCCUUUAGUUAUACAAUGGUUCUACCCAGGUUGCCUCCUCCCCCGCAAUCCUUGUCAGUCUCUCUGUCUCCUCCCCUGUUGCCCCAGUUACAAAUGCAUCUUUUGUUUUGACUGAGCCUGGUGCCCUGUCCAUCACUUGGCGACACAUCCUCUCCAUCUAGAAGCUUCUCUUCUGGGCAUCAAGUGAUUGGUUUAGGGGGUGGGGCCACUUCCCUAGUUACUUUCCAUUGGUCCCACAGCAGUGUCCUUCUUUCCUUUUCCACUCCUUCCUGCUCCUCUCUUGGUUGGAGGGCUGACUCCACCCCUGUUGCCACCCCCCUUUAUAAGUUGCUGUAAGCCUUUUCCCACUGUCUUCAGCUUAUAGACCUCCUAGACUUUUCAUCUCCCUGCUCCUCCCAAUAGACCCUGUUUCACCAGAAGUCGAAGCCCGCUUUC